UCGAGAAUCUUUAGCAAUGGGCGAAAGCCUGACUAUGCGACGCCGCGUGAGGGAUGAAGGUUUUCGGAUCGUAAACCUCUUUCGAUGUAAAAGAAACUUCGCUACGAAAGUAGCGAACUGACGGUAUUCAGAGAAGAAGCCACGGCCAACUCCGUGCCAGCAGCCGCGGUAAUACGGGGGUGGCGAGCGUUACUCGGAUUUAUUGGGUGUAAAGGGCAGGUAGGCGGCUAUAUAAGUUGGAGGUGAAAUCCUUUGGCUCAACCAAAGAACUGCCUUCAAAACUGUAUAGCUUGAGGCUAGAAGAGGAGAGCGGAAUUCCCGGUGUAAGGGUGAAAUCUGUAGAUAUCGGGAGGAACACCAGUGGCGAAAGCGGCUCUCUGGUCUGGCCCUGACGCUGAGC
Molecule: ribosomal RNA, 400 nt
Filed under: uncultured bacterium
Lineage: Bacteria
Description: bacterial SSU rRNA
Rfam family: Bacterial small subunit ribosomal RNA
Source: RNAcentral